RNAcentral lists this ribosomal RNA (759 nucleotides) under uncultured Methanosarcina sp. RNAcentral's name for it is "bacterial SSU rRNA". It matches the Rfam family "Archaeal small subunit ribosomal RNA", at positions 102 to 859 of the family's 1478-position model. The record is from RNAcentral. Lineage: Archaea; Methanobacteriati; Methanobacteriota; Methanomicrobia; Methanosarcinales; Methanosarcinaceae.
GGAUAACCUGCCCUUGGGACCGGCAUAACCCCGGGAAACUGGGGAUAAUUCCGGAUAACGCAUAUUUGCUGGAAUGCUUUAUGCGUCAAAAGGAUUCGUCUGCCCAAGGAUGGGUCUGCGGCCUAUCAGGUAGUAGUGGGUGUAAUGUACCUACUAGCCAGCGACGGGUACGGGUUGUGAGAGCAAGAGCCCGGAGAUGGAUUCUGAGACAUGAAUCCAGGCCCUACGGGGCGCAGCAGGCGCGAAAACUUUACAAUGCGGGAAACCGUGAUAAGGGGACACCGAGUGCCAGCAUCAUAUGCUGGCUGUCCGGAUGUGUAAAAUACAUCCGUUAGCAAGGGCCGGGCAAGACCGGUGCCAGCCGCCGCGGUAACACCGGCGGCCCGAGUGGUGAUCGUGAUUAUUGGGUCUAAAGGGUCCGUAGCCGGUUUGGUCAGUCCUCCGGGAAAUCUGAUAGCUCAACUAUUAGGCUUUCGGGGGAUACUGCCAGACUUGGAACCGGGAGAGGUAAGAGGUACUACAGGGGUAGGAGUGAAAUCUUGUAAUCCCUGUGGGACCACCUGUGGCGAAGGCGUCUUACCAGAACGGGUUCGACGGUGAGGGACGAAAGCUGGGGGCACGAACCGGAUUAGAUACCCGGGUAGUCCCAGCCGUAAACGAUGCUUGCUAGGUGUCAGGCAUGGCGCGACCGUGUCUGGUGCCGCAGGGAAGCCGUGAAGCGAGCCACCUGGGAAGUACGGCCGCAAGGCUGAAACUUAA